GGAAAUGAGAUGGAGGGGGAGGGAUAAAGAAUCAAGAUGUAUUAUGUCCACGUGGGAACUCCCACCAGGAAAGUGAUGAUCAUGUACUGCAAACGGGUACUAAUAAAAACAUUUCAACAUAUUUUUAAGAAAUCAAACAGAUUCCCCCCUUGCUCCCCCAAAAGAGUAAAGUUGCCUAAAUGUCUCAUUCGGAGCGGUUCCUUCCCGUCAGGCCCUGGCUUCCUGAUCGCGCGCUGUAAUCACGCAGGUGUGGUGGGGGACGCCAAUUAGUGUAGGUCAGUACUAGCGCGGAUCAGCAUGGACUAAGUUACCAGUACUCUGGGGUACUUGCUACUGCCAGUCAUUAACAGAGUGCUCCAAAGAGGACCCGCCCCAGAGCACCCCCCGAAGUCCUGAGGAACCAGGCUGGCCCAGUGCGGGGCUGUAAGGAGUCCUCCCGGGCUUCUGAGCUGCUCCAGUUUGAGACCCGCCCCGGGAACCGCAGCGUCUGGGUAGUGCUGCUUUGGGGCGGGGCAGUCCGGUGGCCUACGGCUUGGGGGACUGGAAGCUCUGGUCUCAGAUGCGUGGUUCGGGGUGACAGUCCCCUCCCUUUAUGCUGCUGUGAUGACGCAGUCAGCGUUUGGCCCCCAGGGGAUGCCCCGUGCGGGGCUUGACCUCCUGAAGGCCCCGACGCGCUCAGGUGCACCGAGGAGGGACGGCAGGUGCGGCUGAUCAGGGCCACGGGACCCGCCGGCCUCUGCUGCGCAGCGGCGUGGGCAUGAGUGGGGCAGCGGCGGCGGGCGCUUCCCGAGGCUCCCGGGCCACGCGCGGCAACCGCCGGACGGCGAUGGAGCGGGGCGAGCAGAACGCUGAGUUGAGCUCCUCUGAGGAUGAGAGCCCCCCUCGAGUGCCAAAGAGGCCACCCUGGAAGAUGCCCAUCAAGUACAGCACCCCUGAGGGAGAGGAGGCAGCCCCGUACUGGAGCCCAAGGCCUGGAGGCCGGGCCUCCUACCUGCAAGAGUCCCCAGUGUCUGCGCUCUCUGCCCAGGACCUUGGGCCCCACCAAGCAGGGCUCAGCCCUAGGGCCACCUUCAGGAGGAGGAGGCUUUCCACCAUCUACGCCUUGGAGGAGGGCCCCAGCGUGCAGCCAGGGACCUGCUCAGACCCCUCAUCCCUCGGGGACAACUCACCAGAGCCCGCCUCGUUGGCCAAGCCACAGCAGAAGGCAGAGGACCUGCAAGGAAAUCGCUGGCCACGCAAUGCAGGUCUGCCUGGGGUGCCAGACACCUCCAAGAGGAAGAGACGGGACCCGAAGGAGCGGGCAGCCGUGAUGCUGCGGGUGAGACAGUGGGAGGCCCGUCUGCUGCAGGACAUCGAGGCAGCUGUGCACCAUGAGCUCACCAUCCAGGCCGAGGGGUUGCCUAGCAUGGGCAUGGUCCAGGUCCAGUUCGAUGCCCAGGAGCCCACCACCUCGGACUGACUUAACUGUCCACACCCACCGCACCAUCCACACCCAUUGCCCUGCGGUCCCUGGUGGGUGCAGUGUGAGUGGAUCUUGUGUCAGAGAUGCUGAGGGGAAGGAACUGGGGUCACAGUCUGCAGUUUAAAGUCUGGGUUCUUUGUGUUGUGUGACUUGGAAAGGUCCCGAGCUCUGACUGCACUCCUAUCCUCUACCAUCUGGAUUGGUCGUGGGGACAUCUCUCUGCUUGUCUGACCCCCGGGGUCCUUAUCUGGAGAAUGACAAAAACCUGUCCCAAGGCAAUGAAAGAGCAUAGGACCAAGGCCUGUGUGAGGGUGGCUGUGUGUCCCGCUCCCUGUGCCCUGGGAGAGACCUGGGCGCAGGAGGGAGGUGGUUGUGUGAGAGAAACCUCCCCGGACACCUGCACAGACCAGCAGGGCUGAGGGCUGGCAGAGAGUUUGUGGGAGGAAAGGAAAUGGGCUGCAGGGGUUUGUGGCAGGGCAUAGGCAGGCCAGUACAGUUUCCCAGCUGGGUCUAGCAGGUUCUCUGGUUCCCUGAGACCUUGCCUCUCACCUACAGACAUUGGAAGCUGCAGGGAUGUUCAUGUAGCUUCCCGGGUGGCACUAGAGGAGUUUAACCUCCUGCAGUUGCCUGGGGUGCUCUGUGCCCUAGGUAGUGUCAGGGUCCUCCCAAGGGGCGGCUCUGUCACUCUCAGACCACACAGCAAGGAGGAGAUGAGCAGAAGCCCGAGAAGCUUUGGCUCAAUACAGCACCAGCCUCAAAUCACAUAUGGUGCAGGCCUCUGAGGGCCGCCUUUGUAGGGAUAGGAAUGUGUCUUGGUCUUUUAAAUACAGAGCUAGAUUGUAUCCUUGGAAAUGUCCACGCCCCAUCUGUCUAAAAAGGAUUGCUUUUUUCUUGCAAGUAUGCUUACAUUUCCUCUCUAGUCUGCACUGCUGCCUGCCUGACACUCCUGUGCAUCUGGGGCGGGUGGGCAGGGUAUGCUCAGGCAUGGGGACAGAGGUUAUUGCUAUUGGGGGAUCAGAAAGGGCCGCCUGAAAAGUAAGACCUCAGACUGGGCUAAAAACCAGGACAUGAUAGAUGCUAAGGACAUGCAAAGUCCAGGGUGCCGUGUUUGAAGAGAUGGGGGAAAGUCUCACUCUCUAUCCCCAGGCAGGUGGGAAGUAAUUCAGAUCCAGGGUGAGUUGGGUGAUUCCAGCAAAGAGGGGUUGAUGAGAUUGCUCACAGAGGCAGGAGGGCCAGAGUGGCACCAAUGCCUUCAGAUUCACCCAGUGCCCGUUAUAAGGAACAAGAAUUCACUGACCGUGUUGUAUGUUUAAACAUUUGCAAACUUUCUGAACGAGUUCCACCUACUCAGACUGUUUCCUUUUUUCUAAUUAUCAGGUUGUAAAAUUGUCAGAUGUAUAAAAAUGCUAGAACUUUAUUGUUUCAAAUGAGAAAAUGUAAAACUAUAAAGCGGAAAAAUUGCCUGGAACUAUGUAACACAGUGAGAAGUACUGCGGGGCCAAUUCCUUCUGAUCUUUAUUACUAAAAAUAAAUUGUUUUCACAAGAACUGUUCUAAGUCUGCACUUCAUGCAAAUGGAUUCCGACGUG
Chinchilla lanigera (long-tailed chinchilla) is the source of this 3050-nucleotide long non-coding RNA. Ensembl lists it as uncharacterized. The record is from Ensembl. Lineage: Eukaryota; Metazoa; Chordata; Mammalia; Rodentia; Chinchillidae.